CCUACGGGAGGCAGCAGUGAGGAAUAUUGGUCAAUGGACGCAAGUCUGAACCAGCCAUGCCGCGUGCAGGAAGACGGCUCUAUGAGUUGUAAACUGCGUUUGUACGGGAGUAAACGCAGAUACGCGUAUCUGUCUGAAAGUAUCUUACGAAUCAGGAUCGGCUCACUCCGUGCCAGCAGCCGCGGUAAUACGGAGGAUUCAAGCGUUAUCCGGAUUUAUUGGGUUUAAAGGGUGCGUAGGCGGUCGGAUAAGUUAGAGGUGAAAUCCCGAGGCUCAACUUCGGAAUUGCCUGUGAUACUGUUCGGCAAGAGAGUAGUUGCGGUAGGCAGAAUGUAUGGUGUAGCGGAGAAAUGGUUAGAGAUCAGACAGAACACCGAUUGCGAAGGCAGCUUACCAAGCUACUUCUGACGUUGAGGCACGAAAGCGUGGGGAGCAAACAGGAUUAGAUACCCGUGUAGUC
RNAcentral lists this ribosomal RNA (460 nucleotides) under uncultured bacterium. RNAcentral's name for it is "partial 16S ribosomal RNA". It matches the Rfam family "Bacterial small subunit ribosomal RNA", at positions 338 to 795 of the family's 1533-position model. The record is from RNAcentral.